This 378-nucleotide long non-coding RNA is filed under the name Mytilus galloprovincialis (Mediterranean mussel). The record is from RNAcentral. Lineage: Eukaryota; Metazoa; Mollusca; Bivalvia; Mytilida; Mytilidae.
CAUUUUGAACAAUCAGAUCAUAAAUUUCUAAUAAAAAUUAUAAAUGAGCAGAAAUAUUUCGCCUGCAUUUUUGAAUGACUAUAUAUAAUAUGUUGAAAGAUUUGUGAAAGGACAAACUACACAAUUAUUUAGACUUGCAUGGAGAUUCAUAAAAACUGACCUCAUCAUUAAGUCUUGUGAAUCAAAGAUCCAUGAAUAAACACGAAUGUGUCCUCAGUACACGAAUGCCCCACUCGCACUUUCAUUUUCUAUGUUCAGUGGACCGUGACAUUGGGAUAAAAACUCUAAUUUGGCAUUAAAAUUAGAAAGAUCAUAUCAUAGGGAACAUGUGUACUAAGUUUGAAGUUGAUUGGACUUGAACUUCAUCAAAAACUACCU